GGUUAAGUGACUAAGCGUACACGGUGGAUGCCUAGGCAGUCAGAGGCGAUGAAGGGCGUGCUAAUCUGCGAAAAGCGUCGGUAAGGUGAUAUGAACCGUUACAACCGGCGAUACCCGAAUGGGGAAACCCAGUGUGUUUCGACACACUAUCAUGUCAUGAAUACAUAGUGGCAUGAGGCGAACCGGGGGAACUGAAACAUCUAAGUACCCCGAGGAAAAGAAAUCAACCGAGAUUCCCCCAGUAGCGGCGAGCGAACGGGGAGGAGCCCAGAACCUGAAUCGGCUUGUGUGUUAGUGGAAGCGUCUGGAAAGUCGCGCAGCAAAGGGUGAUAGCCCCGUACACUAAAAUGCACAGGUCGUGAGUUCGAUGAGUAGGGCGGGACACGUGACAUCCUGUCUGAAUAUGGGGGGACCAUCCUCCAAGGCUAAAUACUCCUGACUGACCGAUAGUGAACCAGUACCGUGAGGGAAAGGCGAAAAGAACCCCGGCGAGGGGAGUGAAAUAGAACCUGAAACCGUGUACGUACAAGCAGUGGGAGCACCUUCGUGGUGUGACUGCGUACCUUUUGUAUAAUGGGUCAGCGACUUAUAUUUUGUAGCAAGGUUAACCGUAUAGGGGAGCCGUAGGGAAACCGAGUCUUAACUGGGCGAAUAGUUGCAAGGUAUAGACCCGAAACCCGGUGAUCUAGCCAUGGGCAGGUUGAAGGUUGGGUAACACUAACUGGAGGACCGAACCGACUAAUGUUGAAAAAUUAGCGGAUGACUUGUGGCUGGGGGUGAAAGGCCAAUCAAACCGGGAGAUAGCUGGUUCUCCCGAAAGCUAUUUAGGUAGCGCCUCGUGAACUCAUCUUCGGGGUAGAGCACUGUUUCGGCUAGGGGGCCAUCCCGGCUUACCAAACCGAUGCAAACUCCGAAUACCGAAGAAUGUUAUCACGGGAGACACACGGCGGGUGCUAACGUCCGUCGUGAAGAGGGAAACAACCCAGACCGCCAGCUAAGGUCCCAAAGUCAUGGUUAAGUGGGAAACGAUGUGGGAAGGCAUAGACAGCCAGGAUGUUGGCUUAGAAGCAGCCAUCAUUUAAAGAAAGCGUAAUAGCUCACUGGUCGAGUCGGCCUGCGCGGAAGAUGUAACGGGGCUAAACCAUGCACCGAAGCUGCGGCAGCGACGCUUAGGCGUUGUUGGGUAGGGGAGCGUUCUGUAAGCCGUUGAAGGUGGCCUGUGAGGGUUGCUGGAGGUAUCAGAAGUGCGAAUGCUGACAUAAGUAACGAUAAAGCGGGUGAAAAGCCCGCUCGCCGGAAGACCAAGGGUUCCUGUCCAACGUUAAUCGGGGCAGGGUGAGUCGACCCCUAAGGCGAGGCUGAAAAGCGUAGUCGAUGGGAAACAGGUUAAUAUUCCUGUACUUGGUGUUACUGCGAAGGGGGGACGGAGAAGGCUAGGCUAGCCGGGCGACGGUUGUCCCGGUUUAAGCGUGUAGGGGGUGUGACCUGGUAAAUCCGGUUGCAUAUCAACCCUGAGGCGUGAUGACGAUGCACUACGGUGCAGAAGUAGUUGAUGCCCUGCUUCCAGGAAAAGCCUCUAAGCUCUAGGUAACAUUGAAUCGUACCCCAAACCGACACAGGUGGUCAGGUAGAGAAUACCAAGGCGCUUGAGAGAACUCGGGUGAAGGAACUAGGCAAAAUGGUGCCGUAACUUCGGGAGAAGGCACGCUGGCAUGUAGGUGAAGUCCUUCGCGGAUGGAGCUGAAGCCAGUCGAAGAUACCAGCUGGCUGCAACUGUUUAAUAAAAACACAGCACUGUGCAAACACGAAAGUGGACGUAUACGGUGUGACGCCUGCCCGGUGCUGGAAGGUUAAUUGAUGGGGUCAGCCGCAAGGCGAAGCUCUUGAUCGAAGCCCCAGUAAACGGCGGCCGUAACUAUAACGGUCCUAAGGUAGCGAAAUUCCUUGUCGGGUAAGUUCCGACCUGCACGAAUGGCGUAAUGAUGGCCAGGCUGUCUCCACCCGAGACUCAGUGAAAUUGAACUCGCUGUGAAGAUGCAGUGUACCCGCGGCAAGACGGAAAGACCCCGUGAACCUUUACUAUAGCUUGACACUGAACAUUGAGCCUUGAUGUGUAGGAUAGGUGGGAGGCUUUGAAGCGUGGACGCCAGUCUGCGUGGAGCCAUCCUUGAAAUACCACCCUUUAAUGUUUGAUGUUCUAACUCGGCCCCAUAAUCUGGGGUGAGGACAGUGUCUGGUGGGUAGUUUGACUGGGGCGGUCUCCUCCCAAAGAGUAACGGAGGAGCACGAAGGUUAGCUAAUCACGGUCGGACAUCGUGAGGUUAGUGCAAAGGCAUAAGCUAGCUUGACUGCGAGAGUGACGGCUCGAGCAGGUACGAAAGUAGGUCUUAGUGAUCCGGUGGUUCUGAAUGGAAGGGCCAUCGCUCAACGGAUAAAAGGUACUCCGGGGAUAACAGGCUGAUACCGCCCAAGAGUUCAUAUCGACGGCGGUGUUUGGCACCUCGAUGUCGGCUCAUCACAUCCUGGGGCUGAAGUAGGUCCCAAGGGUAUGGCUGUUCGCCAUUUAAAGUGGUACGCGAGCUGGGUUUAGAACGUCGUGAGACAGUUCGGUCCCUAUCUGCCGUGGGCGUUGGAAGAUUGAGAGGGGUUGCUCCUAGUACGAGAGGACCGGAGUGAACGCACCACUGGUGUUCGGGUUGUCAUGCCAAUGGCAUUGCCCGGUAGCUAAGUGCGGAAAAGAUAAGCGCUGAAAGCAUCUAAGCGCGAAACUUGCCUCAAGAUGAGUCUUCCCUGGGCCUUUAAGGUCCCUGAAGGAACGUUUAAGACUAAGACGUUGAUAGGCUGGGUGUGUAAGUGCAGCGAUGCAUUGAGCUAACCAGUACUAAUGAUCCGUGAGGCUUAACCUU
RNAcentral lists this ribosomal RNA (2906 nucleotides) under Serratia nevei. RNAcentral describes it as "23S ribosomal RNA". It matches the Rfam family "Bacterial large subunit ribosomal RNA". Lineage: Bacteria; Pseudomonadati; Pseudomonadota; Gammaproteobacteria; Enterobacterales; Yersiniaceae. The record is from RNAcentral.